GCCCCGGUGGUGUAGCGGCCUAUCAUCCGAGCCUGUCGAGCUCGGGACUCGGGUCCGAAUCCCGACCGGGGCGCCA
Molecule: transfer RNA, 76 nt
Filed under: Thermoplasmata archaeon
Lineage: Archaea; Methanobacteriati; Thermoplasmatota; Thermoplasmata
Also listed under: 3 other names
Description: tRNA-Asp
Rfam family: tRNA
About the family: Transfer RNA (tRNA) molecules are approximately 80 nucleotides in length. Their secondary structure includes four short double-helical elements and three loops (D, anti-codon, and T loops).
Source: RNAcentral